RNAcentral lists this ribosomal RNA (549 nucleotides) under Nostoc commune AUS-JR/MT/NT-042. Its description in RNAcentral is "bacterial SSU rRNA". It matches the Rfam family "Bacterial small subunit ribosomal RNA", at positions 137 to 721 of the family's 1533-position model. Lineage: Bacteria; Bacillati; Cyanobacteriota; Cyanophyceae; Nostocales; Nostocaceae. The record is from RNAcentral.
GUUGGGUCACAGUUGGAACGACUGCUAUACCGGAUGUGCCGAAAGGUGAAAGGCUUGCUGCCUGAAAAUGAGCUCGCGUCUGAUUACCUAGUAGGUGUGGUAAGAGCGCACCUAGGCGACGAUCAGUAGCUGGUCUGAGAGGAUGAUCAGCCACACUGGGACUGAAACACGGCCCAAACUCCUACGGGAGGCAGCAGGGGGGAAUUUUCCGCAAUGGGCGAAAGCCUGACGGAGCAAUACCGCGUGAGGGAGGAAGGCUCUUGGGUUGUAAACCUCUUUUCUCAAGGAAUAAAAAAGUGAAGGUACUUGAGGAAUCAGCAUCGGCUAACUCCGUGCCAGCAGCCGCGGUAAUACGGAGGAUGCAAGCGUUAUCCGGAAUGAUUGGGCGUAAAGCGUCCGCAGGUGGCAUUGUGUGUCUGCUGUUAAAGAGUGAGGCUUACCCUCAUAAAAGCAGUGGAAACUACAAAGCUAGAGUGCGUUCGGGGCAGAAGGAAUUCCUGGUGUAGCGGUGAAAUGCGUAAAGAUCAGGAAAAACACCGGUGGCGAAGG